GUCGGACGGCAGCACAGGGAAGCUUGCUUCCUGGGUGGCGAGUGGCGAACGGGUGAGUAACAUAUCGGAACGUACCGAGUAGUGGGGGAUAACCAAUCGAAAGAUUGGCUAAUACCGCAUACGUCUUGAGAGGGAAAGCAGGGGACCUCGGGCCUUGCGCUAUUCGAGCGGCCGAUAUCUGAUUAGCUAGUUGGUGGGGUAAAGGCCUACCAAGGCGACGAUCAGUAGCGGGUCUGAGAGGAUGAUCCGCCACACUGGGACUGAGACACGGCCCAGACUCCUACGGGAGGCAGCAGUGGGGAAUUUUGGACAAUGGGCGCAAGCCUGAUCCAGCCAUGCCGCGUGUCUGAAGAAGGCCUUCGGGUUGUAAAGGACUUUUGUCAGGGAAGAAAAGGCAGUUGCUAAUACCGGCUGCCGAUGACGGUACCUGAAGAAUAAGCACCGGCUAACUACGUGCCAGCAGCCGCGGUAAUACGUAGGGUGCGAGCGUUAAUCGGAAUUACUGGGCGUAAAGCGAGCGCAGACGGUUACUUAAGCAGGAUGUGAAAUCCCCGGGCUCAACCUGGGAACUGCGUUCUGAACUGGGUGACUGGAGUGUGUCAGAGGGAGGUAGAAUUCCACGUGUAGCAGUGAAAUGCGUAGAGAUGUGGAGGAAUACCGAUGGCGAAGGCAGCCUCCUGGGAUAACACUGACGUUCAUGCUCGAAAGCGUGGGUAGCAAACAGGAUUAGAUACCCUGGUAGUCCACGCCCUAAACGAUGUCGAUUAGCUGUUGGGCAACUUGAUUGCUUAGUAGCGAAGCUAACGCGUGAAAUCGACCGCCUGGGGAGUACGGUCGCAAGAUUAAAACUCAAAGGAAUUGACGGGGACCCGCACAAGCGGUGGA
This 885-nucleotide ribosomal RNA is filed under the name uncultured Neisseria sp. RNAcentral's name for it is "bacterial SSU rRNA". It matches the Rfam family "Bacterial small subunit ribosomal RNA", at positions 61 to 936 of the family's 1533-position model. The record is from RNAcentral. Lineage: Bacteria; Pseudomonadati; Pseudomonadota; Betaproteobacteria; Neisseriales; Neisseriaceae.